RNAcentral lists this transfer RNA (72 nucleotides) under Bos taurus (domestic cattle). It matches the Rfam family "tRNA". Rfam says of the family: Transfer RNA (tRNA) molecules are approximately 80 nucleotides in length. Their secondary structure includes four short double-helical elements and three loops (D, anti-codon, and T loops). Further hydrogen bonds mediate the characteristic L-shaped molecular structure. tRNAs have two regions of fundamental functional importance: the anti-codon, which is responsible for specific mRNA codon recognition, and the 3' end, to which the tRNAs corresponding amino acid is attached (by aminoacyl-tRNA synthetases). tRNAs cope with the degeneracy of the genetic code in two manners: having more than one tRNA (with a specific anti-codon) for a particular amino acid; and 'wobble' base-pairing, i.e. permitting non-standard base-pairing at the 3rd anti-codon position. The record is from Rfam by way of RNAcentral. RNAcentral also lists the same sequence under 3 other names. Lineage: Eukaryota; Metazoa; Chordata; Mammalia; Artiodactyla; Bovidae.
UCCCUGAUAACUCAGUUGGUAAAGAAUCUGCCUGCAAUGCAGGAGACCCUGGUUUGAUUCCCGGGUCGGGAA